UUAACUGCUAGUAGUCUGUUGUUAUUUAUGUAUUAUUGUGAUUUUGUUUAUUUUCUUUGGUUACAUCUUCUGACAUCAGACUCGGACUUCUCUUGAACUGAAUUUUAAUGUGCGUAUUGUUAUGUGUGUACUUUUCUGCAUUGGCUAGAGGUAUAGGGGGAGGGUUGAGAUCUCAUAAAUAUGUGUAACCCCGCCGCAUUUUUGUGCCUGUCCCAGGUCAGGAGCCUCUGGCCUUUGUUAGUCUUGUAUUAUUUUUAAUUUUUGUUUCUUGUGUACAACUUGGAGUUUAGUAUGGCAUUCAUUAUCACUGAACUAGUAUAUAAAAAGAAGAUGUAGUAUGAUUGCCAAUGAGACAACUAUCCACAAAAGACCAAAAUGACACAGACAUUAACAACUAUAGGUCACCGUACGGCCUUCAACAAUGAGCAAAGCCCAUACCGCAUAGUGAGCUAUACAAGGCCCCGAUAAGAUAAUGUAAAACAAUUCAAACGAGAAAACUAACGGCCUUAUUUAUGUAAAAAAAAUGAACGAAAAACAAAUAUGUAACACAUAAACAAACGACAACCACUGAAUGACAGGCUCCUGACUUGGGACAGGCACAUACAUAAAUAAUGUGGCGGGGUUAAACAUGUUAGCGGAAUCCCAACCCUCCCCCUAACCUGGGACAGUGGUAUAACAGUACAACAUAAGAACGAACCAUAAAAAUCAGUUGAAAAAGGCUUAACUCAUCAGAUGGACAAAAAUACAAGUAGUAUAUAUAAUUGUUAAGGGGCCAGCUGAAGGACACCUCCGGCUGCGGGAAUUUCUCGCUGCAUCGAAGACCUGUUGGUGACCUUCAGCUGUUGUCUGUUCUAUGGCCGGGUUCUUGUCUCUUUGACACAUUCCCCAUUUCCAUUCUCAAUUUUAUUAUAAUUUUUAUAUACUAUAUUAUGUAAUAAAAAAAAGUCCUCAAGUAUCAAAGGUGCUUGCAAACUGUUUAAAUUGGUUUUGAUGAUAGAUAUGAUCGGGUUCAAAUGAUGGUCAUCAAUUUGAUAUAUGUUUAGUUCUCCGUCCACGAAGUACAUUGCCAUCUAAUUUGUUGCAUUUCAAUAUCAUCAUCGUUUUACUGAUGUUGUAUGAGCUCAUGUGUUGUCUGUUUAAGAUGAUUAAGUAUUAAUAAAACGUCUUGUGAUCUUUCUUUUUACGUGUAAUUUCGUAACGGAAAUUGUCUUUCAUUUUUGCUAAUAUGCUUUGUCUAUAUGCCUUUUUAUUCUUUGUUACAUAUGACGUGGCUCAGUACUUAUACAUACCGUCAUUGUGUUAUAUUCUGUUAUAAUUUCUAUAUACUAGCCUUUCAUUUUUUAUUUUAAUAAUGUGCUUUAUCUAUAUCCCUUUUUGUGUUUCUUUCUUACAUAUGAUAUGGCUCUGUACUUUUACAUCCCGUCAUUGUGUUAUUUUGCCAUGGUUAAUGUUUGUAAAUAUAUCGGUUUGUUUUAGAGUGAUAAAGAUGAUAACACUAUAUUGACAUUUUUACCUAUUGUGAAUGUUUUGUUCUCACAUCGUUGUCAAUAUAAUGGAAUUGUAUGCGUCUGUCAAACAAGUGAGUUUUUUAGCUAGCUAUAAAACAGGAUUCAUUUCUACAUAAAAAAAUGCAUGUACCAAUGCAGGAAAUAGGCAGUUGUAAUCCAUUAGUUUGAUGUGUUUGAGCUCUUGAUUUUGCCAUUUGAUUAGAAACUUUCCUGUUAGAAUAUUCCUCGGAGUUCAGUAUUUUUGUGAUUUUACUGUUUGCAUGAUUAAUGUUUAAUAAAUUUUCAUUCACAAAGGUGUAUGAACAAUUUCCUGAAGUGUAAAAUAAAUAUAAAUGUACUAGUAAUAAAAAAAUAAUUCAAGCAUCUACUCUAAUAUAUAUAUAUUCAAACAAUUAUCAACAAACAAUUUGGACUUUUGUCGUGUGACUUUUUUUCUGGCAAAUUUGUGAGUUUUUGUCCGAUAAAUAAACUCAUCAUAGAUACCAGAAUUAAAUUUUGUGUUUACAUCAGACAUGCUCGUCUACAAAAGACUCAAAAGUGACGAUCAAAUUAAAAAACAAAUGUUAAAAAGGCCAAAUAAAGUACGAAGUUGAAGAGCAUUGAGGACCAAAAUUCCUAACAGUUUUGCCAAAUACAGCUAAAGUAAUCUAUUUCUAAGGUAGAAAAGUUUUGUAAACAGCUAAUUUAAAAAUAUGACCAUAUCAAUGAUAAUUCAUGUCAGUACAGAAGUGGAAAUUUUGUAUUAUUGUUGUAGUUGCAUUAUGUUAUGAAGAACGAGUGAUCAAAAUAUACGUGAAAUAAUAAAAAAAAAUAUUUUCCUUGGCUUAGUCUACAACUUACUUAAUGAACAAAGACUUCCCAAAAUAUCUGUCAAAGAAUAUGUGUAAUAAAUAGAAGGGGAAUGCAACCCAGAUGCAAUCUAAUUACCGACUUUACCGUAACCUAGCAAGCCACAAAUAUGUUUAAACGGUUGUUUGUAUUCUUUGGUUUAAUUAUAUUGAAAAGUUACCCGAUGCCGUGUUUAAGAUCAAAUACAUUUUUACAAAACUCACUUUAUAAUCCAGG
This 2573-nucleotide long non-coding RNA is filed under the name Mytilus galloprovincialis (Mediterranean mussel). Lineage: Eukaryota; Metazoa; Mollusca; Bivalvia; Mytilida; Mytilidae. The record is from RNAcentral.